This is a long non-coding RNA of Gossypium arboreum, 539 nucleotides long. RefSeq lists it as uncharacterized. NCBI's taxonomy places the organism in Eukaryota, Viridiplantae, Streptophyta, Magnoliopsida, Malvales, Malvaceae. The record is from RefSeq and is a predicted model, not a curated record. The transcript has 2 exons.
UUGGAUCCAAAGAUGUUGAAAUGGUUUUGUUCGCUUUGAAGAUGGAGAAGGUUCUGUUGAAUCUCCGUGGAUGGGUUUGAAAGUUUUUCUCUCCCAUGUUCGGCUAAACUGUGGAUCUACUCUGGGUGGUAAUUAGACUUGAUCGGGUCGGUGUCGCGGAAGCUUGGUCCGAUAUUAAAUAUUGUUCCUAGCAUAGUUAUUAUUAGUAGGAAUAUUUGUCUUAUGAUGUUAUGAAUUUAGGAAGACUAUGUCUUUAAAUUAUUGUCGUGUUGAAUAUUGUGUGACUAUUGGUUUACUUCGGUUGCGUUAUGGUAAUGUCAUCUUUAGAAUGGAUGAUGUAACUCACGGACUUAGCCUAGAUGUCUAGGCCGGGUUUAGGGUGUUACAUAGAAUUCUAAAAUGUUUCAUUUUUUUUUAGUUAUAUUAAUUAUUUUGAUAUUGCAUUUAUUUGUAUUUGUAUUUUGAUAUUGUGUGACUCAUUUUGUGUUGAUUAUUAUAGAAAAGUCGCAACAAAUUUAUCUUGUUUUUUUAUUAUAGAA